RNAcentral lists this transfer RNA (73 nucleotides) under Camelus bactrianus (Bactrian camel). It matches the Rfam family "tRNA". From Rfam's summary of the family: Transfer RNA (tRNA) molecules are approximately 80 nucleotides in length. Their secondary structure includes four short double-helical elements and three loops (D, anti-codon, and T loops). RNAcentral also lists the same sequence under 1 other name. Lineage: Eukaryota; Metazoa; Chordata; Mammalia; Artiodactyla; Camelidae. The record is from Rfam by way of RNAcentral.
GAGGGUAUAGCUCAGUGGUAAGAGUGCAUGUUUAGCAUGCACAGGGUCCUGGGUUCAAUCCAUAGUACCUCUG